UACGUAGGGUGCGAGCGUUGUCCGGAAUUAUUGGUCGUAAAGAGCUUGUAGGCGGUUUGUCGCGUCUGCUGUGAAAAUCCGGGGCUCAACCCCGGACUUGCAGUGGGUACGGGCAGACUAGAGUGUGGUAGGGGAGACUGGAAUUCCUGGUGUAGCGGUGAAAUGCGCAGAUAUCAGGAGGAACACCGAUGGCGAAGGCAGGUCUCUGGGCCACUACUGACGCUGAGAAGCGAAAGCAUGGGGAGCGAACAGG
RNAcentral lists this ribosomal RNA (253 nucleotides) under uncultured bacterium. Its description in RNAcentral is "partial 16S ribosomal RNA". It matches the Rfam family "Bacterial small subunit ribosomal RNA", at positions 524 to 776 of the family's 1533-position model. The record is from RNAcentral.